This 784-nucleotide long non-coding RNA is filed under the name Gallus gallus (chicken). RNAcentral describes it as "lncRNA (ENSGALG00010000895.1)". The record is from RNAcentral. Lineage: Eukaryota; Metazoa; Chordata; Aves; Galliformes; Phasianidae.
ACCAGCCGCUGCCAGAGCUGAAUCCUGAACAAUGCUGGUUGUUCUCGGGGAGAGCAGAUUUAGGGAAAACAGAAUCGAGGAGAAACAGUCUUUUAGGCAUGAAGGUUUGUGCAGGAGGAGCUCCAGGCACACAGCAGCAGCUCUCUGCCACUCAAGAGAGGCCCAUGGAGGAGCAGGACAUCCCCCUGUAUCCCAUGGGCACCCCAUGGAACAGAUCGCCCCGUGCAGCCAUGGACGAGCUGUGGUGCAGCUGUGGAUGAAGUCUGAAGGAGGCUCAGCCCACAUAUACCACUUCAGGAGCAACCUGGGCUGGAGCUGCAGUCCAUUAGGAGCUGUGGGGAGCAGUGCUGGGAGGAACAUUCUCUUCUUUCCAUCUUCCCUGAUUAGGAAAGAAGUAAGGAAAAGCUUCAGUUGCGCUUCUCAAUUCAGAAUAGACAAAGGUACUCUAGCAAGACACAAAUGUGUUGCAAAGAAGCAAGCUGAUCAAAAAAAGAAAGCAUGGGAAGUGAAAGUGUCACAUUUACAGGUGCUAUGUAGGUCAUGGCGAAUUUGCUACAGCACUUCUCAUUGGCUUUUAUUACACGGAUCUUAAUGAAUGGAAAGGAAGAAUUAUCCAAGCCAAGCCUUUUUUUUUUUUUCCCCCCCUUCAGUUUAAUAUCUCUUCCAUCUAUGAGGAUGUGUGAGUAGCUUUUGUCCAGUGAAAAGGAACCUUUGUUUGAAGGAACUUCUGUGAAGAGUGCCACUACAGAGAAAGUCAGGCACUAGUGAUGCAGAGGGAUCUGGC